CAGUCGCCGCGGUAAUACGUAGGUGGCAAGCGUUGUCCGGAAUUAUUGGGCGUAAAGGGCUCGCAGGCGGUUUCUUAAGUCUGAUGUGAAAGCCCCCGGCUCAACCGGGGAGGGUCAUUGGAAACUGGGAAACUUGAGUGCAGAAGAGGAGAGUGGAAUUCCACGUGUAGCGGUGAAAUGCGCAGAGAUGUGGAGGAACACCAGUGGCGAAGGCGACUCUCUGGUCUGUAACUGACGCUGAGGAGCGAAAGCGUGGGGAGCGAACAGGAUUAGAGACCCGCGUAGUCCCUGUCUCUUAUAC
This 301-nucleotide ribosomal RNA is filed under the name uncultured bacterium. RNAcentral describes it as "partial 16S ribosomal RNA". It matches the Rfam family "Bacterial small subunit ribosomal RNA", at positions 509 to 807 of the family's 1533-position model. The record is from RNAcentral.